UACGUAGGGUGCGAGCGUUAAUCGGAAUUACUGGGCGUAAAGCGUGCGCAGGCGGUUCGCUGUGUCCGAUGUGAAAGCCCCGGGCUUAACCUGGGAAUGGCAUUGGAAACUGGCGGGCUUGAGUGCGGCAGAGGGGGGUGGAAUUCCGCGUGUAGCAGUGAAAUGCGCAGAUAUCAGGAGGAACACCGGUGGCGAAGGCGGAUCUCUGGGCCUUGCCUGACGCUGAGGCGCGAAAGCUAGGGGAGCGAACAGG
RNAcentral lists this ribosomal RNA (253 nucleotides) under uncultured bacterium. RNAcentral describes it as "partial 16S ribosomal RNA". It matches the Rfam family "Bacterial small subunit ribosomal RNA", at positions 524 to 776 of the family's 1533-position model. The record is from RNAcentral.